RNAcentral lists this ribosomal RNA (717 nucleotides) under Pseudomonadota bacterium. Its description in RNAcentral is "bacterial SSU rRNA". It matches the Rfam family "Bacterial small subunit ribosomal RNA", at positions 28 to 729 of the family's 1533-position model. The record is from RNAcentral. Lineage: Bacteria; Pseudomonadati; Pseudomonadota.
AUUGAACGCUGGCGGAAUGCUUUACACAUGCAAGUCGAACGGCAGCACGGAGAGCUUGCUCUCUGGUGGCGAGUGGCGAACGGGUGAGUAAUAUAUCGGAACGUGUCCAAUAAUGGGGGAUAACGAGUCGAAAGAUUCGCUAAUACCGCAUACGCCCUACGGGGGAAAGCAGGGGAUCGUAAGACCUUGCGUUAAUGGAGCGGCCGAUAUCUGAUUAGCUUGUUGGUGAGGUAAAGGCUCACCAAGGCGACGAUCAGUAGCUGGUUUGAGAGAACGACCAGCCACACUGGAACUGAGACACGGUCCAGACUCCUACGGGAGGCAGCAGUGGGGAAUUUUGGACAAUGGGGGCAACCCUGAUCCAGCCAUUCCGCGUGAGUGAAGAAGGCCUUCGGGUUGUAAAGCUCUUUCGCAAGGGAAGAAAACUUAUGAUCGAAUAAAUCAUGAGGUUGACGGUACCUUGAUAAGAAGCACCGGCUAACUACGUGCCAGCAGCCGCGGUAAUACGUAGGGUGCGAGCGUUAAUCGGAAUUACUGGGCGUAAAGCGUGCGCAGGCGGUUUUGUAAGUCGGAUGUGAAAUCCCCGGGCUCAACCUGGGAACUGCGUUCGAAACUGCAAAGGCUAGAGUGUGUCAGAGGGGGGUAGGAAUUCCACGUGUAGCUAGUGAAAUGCGUAGAGAAUGUGGAGGGAAUACCAAUGGCGGAAAGGCAGCCCCC